AGCAGCCGCGGUAAUUCCAGCUCCAAUAGCGUAUAUUAAAGUUGUUGCAGUUAAAAAGCUCGUAGUUGAAUUUCGGGAUCAAUGGGUUGGUCAUGCCCUCGGUAUGUACUGAUUUCAUUGGUUCUCACCUUCUAAGGAACCAUGAUGUCAUUUAUUUGAUGUUGUGGGAAAUUAGGACUGUUACCUUGAAAAAAUUAGAGUGUUUAAAGCAGGCUAACGCUUGAAUACAUUAGCAUGGAAUAAUGAAAUAGGACAUCCGAUUCUAUUUUGUUGGUUUCUAGGAUCGAUGUAAUGAUUAAUAGGGAUAGUUGGGGGCAUUAGUAUUCAAUUGUCAGAGGUGAAAUUCUUGGAUUUAUUGAAGACUAACUACUGCGAAAGCAUUUGCCAAGGAUGUUUUCAUUAAUCAAGAACGAAAGUUAGGGGAUCGAAGACGAUCAGAUACCGUCGUAGUCUUAACCAUAAACUAUGCCGACUAGGGAUCGGAUGAUGCUUAUUUUUAAUGA
This 503-nucleotide small RNA is filed under the name uncultured Glomus. RNAcentral's name for it is "SSU rRNA". It matches the Rfam family "Eukaryotic small subunit ribosomal RNA", at positions 569 to 1075 of the family's 1831-position model. Lineage: Eukaryota; Fungi; Glomeromycota; Glomeromycetes; Glomerales; Glomeraceae. The record is from RNAcentral.